RNAcentral lists this ribosomal RNA (448 nucleotides) under uncultured bacterium. Its description in RNAcentral is "bacterial SSU rRNA". It matches the Rfam family "Bacterial small subunit ribosomal RNA", at positions 329 to 793 of the family's 1533-position model. The record is from RNAcentral.
GACCAGACUCCUACGGGAGGCAGCAGUGGGGAAUAUUGCACAAUGGGGGGAACCCUGAUGCAGCGACGCCGCGUGGGUGAAGGAGCGUUUCGGCGCGUAAAGCCCUAUCGGCAGGGAAGAAGGAGGACGGUACCUGACUAAGAAGCCCCGGCUAACUACGUGCCAGCAGCCGCGGGAAUACGUAGGGGGCAAGCGUUAUCCGGAUUUACUGGGUGUAAAGGGAGCGUAGACGGCGACGCAAGUCUGGAGUGAAAGCCCGGGGCCCAACCCCGGGACUGCUCUGGAAACUGCGUCGCUGGAGUACGGGAGGGGCAGGCGGAAUUCCUGGUGUAGCGGUGAAAUGCGUAGAUAUCAGGAGGAACACCGGCGGCGAAGGCGGCCUGCUGGACCGCGACUGACGUUGAGGCUCGAAAGCGUGGGGAGCGAACAGGAUUAGAUACCCUAGUAA